UUGAAAGGGAAACGAUUGAAGUCAGUCGUACCUAUGGGUAAUCAGCCUUUUGGGUGUGAUUUUGUGGAGCGUGAAGAGUUAAACGCCUUCAUGCCUGCAUAUUCGUGCACUUUGGGUGUACUUGCCCGUGUGUAAGUUAACAUCAAUUUUGGUGGUCAUAAAAUGGCUGGAGGAAUGUAGCUUCGAUCUUGUAUUGAAGUGUUAUAGCCUUCGGUAGAUGUGACGAUCGGGAUUGAGGAUUGCAACGGAUACCCUUCGGGGCUACCUGUCUGAUCUCUGAUUGUUGCUCUGGUGCCGAAAGCUUGCUUACGGUUAUCAAAGUCGAUUGUCAAUAGGUUAGAACGGGUUAAAUUCGUUAAGGAUGUUGACGUA
This 372-nucleotide ribosomal RNA is filed under the name uncultured Glomeromycotina. RNAcentral describes it as "LSU rRNA". The record is from RNAcentral. Lineage: Eukaryota; Fungi; Glomeromycota.